This 497-nucleotide ribosomal RNA is filed under the name uncultured bacterium. Its description in RNAcentral is "partial 16S ribosomal RNA". It matches the Rfam family "Bacterial small subunit ribosomal RNA", at positions 28 to 507 of the family's 1533-position model. The record is from RNAcentral.
GAUGAACGCUGGCGGCGUGCCUAAUACAUGCAAGUCGAGCGAACGGACGAGAAGCUUGCUUCUCUGAUGUUAGCGGAGGACGGGUGAGUAACACGUGGAUCAUCUACCUAUAUGACUGGGAUCACUUCGGGAAACCGUAGCUAAUACCGGAUAAUAUUUUGAACCGCAUGGUUCAAUAGUGAAAGACGGUCUUGCUGUCACUUAUAGCUGGAUCCGCGCUGCAUUAUCUGGUUGGUAAGGUAACGGCUUACGAAGGCAACGAGGCAUAGCCGACCGGUUAGAGGGAUCGCCGACACGGGAGGUGAGACGCCGUCCUGGCUCCUACGAUAGGGAGCAGUAUGGUAUCUGCCGCAGUGGUCGGAAGCCUUACGGAGCGGCGCCACGUGAGUUAUGAAGGUCUUCGGAGCGUAAAACUCUGUUAUUAGGUAAGAACAGAUGUGGAAGGAACUGUGGAGAGCUUGACGGUACCGAAUCAGAAAGCCACGGCUAACUACGUG